Molecule: ribosomal RNA, 466 nt
Filed under: uncultured bacterium
Lineage: Bacteria
Description: bacterial SSU rRNA
Rfam family: Bacterial small subunit ribosomal RNA
Source: RNAcentral
AACGAACGCUGGCGGCGUGCCUAAUACAUGCAAGUCGAACGAGAACGGUUCCUUCGGGAGCUUAUUAAAGUGGCGGACGGGUGAGUAACACGUGAACAACGUACCUUCGAGUGGGGGACAACUAUUAGAAAUGAUAGCUAAUACCGCAUAAGACCACACUGUCUACGGGCAGAGGGGUCAAAGCCUUCGGGCGCUUGAAGAUCGGUUCGCGUCCCAUUAGUUAGUUGGUGAGGUAAUGGCUCACCAAGACGAAGAUGGGUAGCUGGUCUGAGAGGAUGAUCAGCCACACUGGGACUGAGACACGGCCCAGACUCCUACGGGAGGCAGCAGUAGGGAAUCUUGCGCAAUGGACGAAAGUCUGACGCAGCAACGCCGCGUGUGUGAUGAAGGCCCUUGGGUCGUAAAGCACUGUCAGGAGGGAAGAAGAUCUGACGUGUACCUCCAAAGGAAGCACCGGCUAACUCCG